UUUCCUACGGGACGCAGCAGUGGGGGAUAUUGCACAAUGGGGGGAACCCUGAUGCAGCGACGCCGCGUGGGUGAAGGAGCGUUUCGGCGCGUAAAGCCCUAUCGGCAGGGAAGAAAUGACGGUACCUGACCAAGAAGCCCCGGCUCAAUACGUGCCCGCAGCCGCGGUAAUACGUAGGGGGCAAGCGUUAUCCGGAAUUACUGGGGGUAAAGGGAGCGUAGACGGUUAAGUAAGUCUGGAGUGAAAGGUCGGGGCCCAACCCCGGGACU
RNAcentral lists this ribosomal RNA (269 nucleotides) under uncultured bacterium. RNAcentral's name for it is "partial 16S ribosomal RNA". It matches the Rfam family "Bacterial small subunit ribosomal RNA", at positions 335 to 622 of the family's 1533-position model. The record is from RNAcentral.